Molecule: ribosomal RNA, 469 nt
Filed under: uncultured bacterium
Lineage: Bacteria
Description: partial 16S ribosomal RNA
Rfam family: Bacterial small subunit ribosomal RNA
Source: RNAcentral
GACGAACGCUGGCGGCGUGCUUAACACAUGCAAGUCGAACGGUGAAGCGAGUGCUUGCACUCGUGGAUCAGUGGCGAACGGGUGAGUAACACGUGAGUAACCUGCCCAUCACGCUGGGAUAAGCACUGGAAACGGUGUCUAAUACUGGAGACGACCAACCCUUGCAUGGGGUGUUGGUGGAAAGAUUUAUCUGUUAUGGAUGGACUCGCGGCCUAUCAGCUUGUUGGCGGGGUAAUGGCCCACCAAGGCGACGACGGGUAGCCGGCCUGAGAGGGUGAACGGCCAAACUGGGACUGAGACAACGCCCAGACUCCUACGGGAGGCAGCCGUGGGGAAUAUUGCACAAUGGGCGAAAGCCUGAUGCAGCGAAGCCGCGUGAGGGAUGACGGCCUUCGGGUUGUAAACAUCUUUCAGCAGGGAAGAAGAGAAAGUGACGGUACCUGCAGAAGAAGCACCGGCUAACUACGUG